GAUGAACGCUGGCGGCGUGCCUAAUACAUGCAAGUCGAGCGAACAGACGAUGAUCUUGCUCCUCUGACGUUAGCGGCGGACUGGUUAGUAACACGUUGAUAACCUACCUAUAAGACUGGGAUAACUUCGGGAAACCGGAGCUAAUACCGGAUAAUAUAUUGAACCGCAUGGUUCAAUAGUGAAAGACGGUUUUGCUGUCACUUAUAGAUGGAUCCGCGCCGCAUUAGCUAGUUGGUAAGGUAACGGCUUACCAAGGCAACGAUGCGUAGCCGACAUGAGAGGGUGAUCGGCCACACUGGAACUGAGACACGGUCCAGACUCCUACGGGAGGCAGCAGUAGGGAAUCUUCCGCAGUGGGCGAAAGCUUGACGGAGCAACGCCGCGUGAGUGAUGAAGGUCUUCGGAUCGUAAAACUCUGUUAUUAGGGAAGAACAAAUGUGUAAGUAACUAUGCACGUCUUGACGGUACAUAAUCAGAAAGCCACGGCUAACUACGU
RNAcentral lists this ribosomal RNA (496 nucleotides) under uncultured bacterium. Its description in RNAcentral is "partial 16S ribosomal RNA". It matches the Rfam family "Bacterial small subunit ribosomal RNA", at positions 28 to 506 of the family's 1533-position model. The record is from RNAcentral.